This is a long non-coding RNA of Dermacentor albipictus, 889 nucleotides long. RefSeq lists it as uncharacterized. NCBI's taxonomy places the organism in Eukaryota, Metazoa, Arthropoda, Arachnida, Ixodida, Ixodidae. The record is from RefSeq and is a predicted model, not a curated record.
GAAGUCCAACCUUUAAUGCAACUUAGUUUUCGUUGGUGCAAGUGCUUCUACUGGAAACAUCCAAAAUAUGAUUUAACAAAUCAGGUUGCUGUCUUGUAGUUUUAGAAAUUUUCCUCUGGUCUUAAGUCUUUUCUGAAUCUGGAAGAGCUGGCUGAUUGCACAUUUCAUCUCGAGAUAGCUCGCACACUUCCAGCAGCACAGCUGUCGUCUUCUCGGAAGCAGGCACUGAUGCUUGGAGACCUGCAGAGCACAAACUGCAGCAUGUAUGCCGAAAUAAACAGCUGUUGCCUAUUUCAAAUAAAACCAAUGUCAGGUGUGGCGAGCCCGGGAGACAGCAAGAGCCGCAGGAGUCCUGGACUAAGGGCGCCUCCCACACAAGCAGAAAUACACCUGCUUUUCCUUUCUUUUCUUUAAUACAAUAGUUUACCUGACUUGGAGGCAGUUUUAUCUCGGGAGCUCCUAUCUGAAUACAUGGGAAAAGAGAAAUAGUUUUUCUCUGAAGCCAGCAAUGGAAUUCGAUGAGGUUGGUUACACGUUAAAAAAAAAAAAAAAAAGCUGAAAUGUAGCCACUGUUUUAGGGGGCAAUGUUUUGUGGCAGGAAAUUUUGAAAAUUGUGAAAUUAAAAAGACUUUUGUAUGAAGUUUACAACUUGAUACAAAAGCUAUGACAUUGUAAACUUCGUGCUUAUAUUUUUUAAGCUUACUGACUCUCAGCAAUUUUUCCUAAAUAUUCAAGGUCCUAAAUCAAAAUUAUGCAGCCUAGAAUGACUAAAAUUUAACUUUUUCUCUCAAAUGCAACAAAUUUCAUUGAAAUUAUUCGGGUAGUUGUCUCAAAAGCAUUUCUGCAUUUUACAUGUAUUUGAAUAAAGAGAUUAGAGUUGGCACUGAAC